AGAUGCAAGGCUGAUCUGGCUGUGACAUCUGUUACCCUGCUGAUUACCAGGGUGACAUCUGAUUCAGCUGGAGAGGUGGUGUUCUUCCUCUCUCACUGCUCCAUGUGUGUCCCUACCAAAGCCACACACUCAUCGGAGGACGACUUUUCCUGAUAAAAGAGGAUCAUUAUCUGGCCAGAGGUAUAUAAGGAGCUGCGCUGUACUGCUAGAACCCCAAAACACACUCUCUAAAUGUAUUCAGAAGAUAACAGAAGAGUCGCCUAAAUUGAAAUAGAACUUUAUACCAGUGAUGGCACACCUGUU
Molecule: small nuclear RNA, 303 nt
Filed under: Chinchilla lanigera (long-tailed chinchilla)
Lineage: Eukaryota; Metazoa; Chordata; Mammalia; Rodentia; Chinchillidae
Description: 7SK RNA (ENSCLAG00000021688.1)
Rfam family: 7SK RNA
About the family: 7SK was discovered as an abundant small nuclear RNA in the mid-70s but a possible function has only recently been suggested.
Source: Rfam by way of RNAcentral